GAUGAACGCUAGCUACAGGCUUAACACAUGCAAGUCGAGGGGCAGCAUGGUCUUAGCUUGCUAAGGCCGAUGGCGACCGGCGCACGGGUGAGUAACACGUAUCCAACCUGCCGUCUACUCUUGGACAGCCUUCUGAAAGGAAGAUUAAUACAAGAUGGCAUCAUGAGUUCACAUAUUCACAUGAUUAAAGGUAUUCCGGUAGACGAUGGGGAUGCGUUCCAUUAGAUAGUAGGCGGGGUAACGGCCCACCUAGUCUUCGAUGGAUAGGGGUUCUGAGAGGAAGGUCCCCCACAUUGGAACUGAGACACGGUCCAAACGCCUACGGGAGGCAGCAGUGAGGAAUAUUGGUCAAUGGGCGAGAGCCUGAACCAGCCAAGUAGCGUGAAGGAUGACUGCCCUAUGGGUUGUAAACUUCUUUUAUAAAGGAAUAAAGUCGGGUAUGUAUACCCGUUUGCAUGUACUUUAUGAAUAAGGAUCGGCUAACUCCGUG
Molecule: ribosomal RNA, 490 nt
Filed under: uncultured bacterium
Lineage: Bacteria
Description: partial 16S ribosomal RNA
Rfam family: Bacterial small subunit ribosomal RNA
Source: RNAcentral